RNAcentral lists this unclassified non-coding RNA (4243 nucleotides) under Hevea brasiliensis (rubber tree). Lineage: Eukaryota; Viridiplantae; Streptophyta; Magnoliopsida; Malpighiales; Euphorbiaceae. The record is from RNAcentral.
GGAAGAAGCAUUGCAGAGCAAAGAAAAAUGGAAAUGGAGGGGAAGAGCAGCUCAGACUCAGUGACGAUAAUCCACAAUGCAACAAUCGUUACUAUGGACGCCGAGAGCCGAGUCUUCAGAAAUGGCGGGAUCGUUAUCGACCAAGAUAAAAUCAAAGCCAUUGGUCAAUCCCCUGACAUUCUUGCUCAAUUCUCCGCUAUCGCCCACCAUUGUGUCGACCUCCAUGGCCAAUUCUUGCUCCCUGGAUUUAUCAACACGCAUGUUCAUACCUCGCAACAGCUCGCUAGAGGGAUAGCAGACGAUGUGGAUCUAAUGACUUGGUUGCACCAUCGAAUUUGGCCUUAUGAAUCUAACAUGACUGAGCAAGAUUCUUACAUUUCUACGUUACUAUGUGGAAUAGAACUCAUCCACUCUGGGGUUACAUGCUUUGCCGAGGCAGGAGGGCAGCAUGUCUCUGGAAUGGCUCGAGCAGUUGAGGAACUGGGGUUGCGAGCUUGCUUAACUCAGUCUACUAUGGACUCUGGUGAGGGUUUACCUCCGUCGUGGGCCAGUCGAACUUCAGAUGACUGUAUUCAGGUUAAGCAUUACAAAAUUCUCAAGAGUGGCCAUGCAAUAAGUGCAAGUUAUUGUAUUACAUUUAUUUUACAUGCAAAUAUAAAAGAGCUUUAUUUUUUUUAAAAGUAGUUUUUGUUAAGUAUUAUUGCAUUCUCAUUUGUAUCCAUUGUUGAUAGAGUUUUGAAUCUUUUGAUCGAUUUUCAUUUUUCAAACACCAAGCCUUGGUUGAUGCUGAUUUCUCACUUCAAGGGUACAGUCUCAGAAGGAGCUUUACCAGAAGCACCACAACACUGCAGAUGGGCGCAUUAGGAUAUGGCUUGGAAUUAGGCAAAUUAUGAAUUCAACUGAUCGCCUAUUACUUGAAACAAGAGACACAUCUAGGGAACUGAAAACUGGAAUCCAUAUGGUAAUGGUCUCUCUAUCUAUGUGUCUGACAUGCUUACUAUCUGGUACUUUUUGUUCAUAAUUUAGGUGUCUUGCUAUAAGAAAUCUGCUCAGGCAUGUAUGUGUUUGCUUGAUUGGUGUAUGAAAUAUGAAAAAUUUUGUCUAUCUGAUAUUUGUUUUUUUUCCUUUUCAUUCUAAGAAACUGUAAUUGGUUCAUAAUUAAAUAAUUCUUGUAAAGGCAAAUUAAUAAAGGCUGAACUUUGAUGCCAUGGAGAAGAUGCCGAUUUUGAAGUAGAUUCAACUAAUCUUUACAAUCUUUAGCAUGUCUCGGAGAUACCUUACGAGAAUCAACUUGUGAUGGAUACACGAAAAGUUGAACAUGGAACUGUUUCAUACUUGGAGAAGAUAGACUUCCUGCAGAAGAACUUGCUGGCUGCUCACACAGUUUGGGUCAACAAUACUGAGAUUGGUUUUCUUUCAAGAGCUGGGGUCAAAGUAUCUCACUGCCCAGCUUCUGCAAUGCGAAUGCUUGGAUUUGCACCUAUUAAGGAGAUGCUUGAUUCUGGAAUUUGUGUUUCCUUGGGAACGGAUGGCGCACCAUCAAAUAAUAGAAUGAGCAUGGUUGAUGAGAUGUAUCUGACUUCGUUGAUUAAUAAAGGAAGGGAAGUUUUUGCAAAUGGAACGACUGAUCCUACAGCUCUCCCAUCUGAAACAGUUCUCAAAAUGGCAACCAUAAAUGGUGCAAAAACAGUACUCUGGGAUGAUGAAAUUGGAUCAAUUGAGACUGGGAAAAAGGCUGACUUGGUUGUUGUGAAUACUAACUUAUGGUCUAUGGUCCCUGUUCAUGACUGCAUUUCAAGCCUUGUUUACUGCAUGCGGACUGAGAAUAUUGUCUCAGUAAUGUGCAACGGCAAGUGGAUUAUGAAGGAGAAGAAGAUUUUGAAUGUGGAUGAGGGAGAAGUAAUUUCAGUGGCAAAGGAGGCUUCGGGUAAACUCUUGAAGAGAGCUGGUAUCAGCAUCCCAAACAGAAUGAAUGUCCUCUAAUCCUUCCUUUGAAGGUCCACUGUAAUCACUCUUAUUCCCUCCAAAAUCACUCUUAUUCCCUCCAAAAAAAAACAUGUAAUACCUAAUUCCAUACUUCACAAUAGUAAUAAAAAGAAUACCUUGCUAUGAGAGAUCCUUCAGCUUGGUUCUUGUCCUUUUUGUUUUUUUUGGUCUAAAAUGGAGACGUCUCAUUGAAGCCUGAGGGAGGCAAAUUAGAUACAAACAAAGCUUGGCUUAUGGGAUUAAACAUGAAGGAGCUAUCAUUAAGAGCUUUGGCAGCUAGCAAAGCAAAUAUUAAAAAAAUAAUCAAAAUAUUAAAUGGGCCGUAGCCCGUAAGAUGCAGGAUUUGAGUUUUGAAAUCACAAUUCUGACCCAUGAUUCAACGCACCGCGCGCCAACAGAAGAUUCGAAAGUUCUCUAGAACCCUUAGAAGCCUAAAUCUCUCUCCCUGAAUCUUCUGGAACUUCCUGGUCCUCUCCGAAUUCGGAUCAGAAUACCUCCCUAUAUAUACAUAUUUCGCAUUUCAUUUUCAUUAACACCAAAUCAUCUUUCUCAUCACAACACGAAAAAUCAAGCAAACAGGAAUUAGAUUUCUUCUUCGAUAAUGGAUAAUCUCUUCUUCAGGAGCCACCUUAGCUACCCGUCCACCCCUCGCUACUAUUACCCACCUGUCCGACAUGUACCUGUGCACCGCCAGACGACGCCGGUUCAGAAGGUGGUGGAGAUUCCCGUUCGUUAUGUAGAGUCUGCGCCUAGCAGGUUGGAUUCUGUGGUUAAGAUUCAGAAGGUGUUCAGGGGGUUUUUGGUCAGAAAAAGCGUUAGGAAGAUUGCUGCGAUUAGGAGGGAGGUUGAUGAGAUAGAGACGAGGAUUUCGAUGAAGGAAACUGUGGAGCUGAUUCGGAGGGAUUCGAAAGAGCCGUUGAAGGUUAAUGAGAUGCUUAUGAAUUUGUUGUUGAGGUUGGAUUCUGUGCCGGGUGUUGAUUCUGGAGUUAAGGAUUGCAGGAGGGCUGUGAUUAAAAAGGCGAUCAGGUUGCAGGAGAUGGUUGAUGCUAUUGUUGCUGGUGAUCAAGCAUUGGAAGUAGAUGAUUUGGCCAAGAAAGGCGAAGAAGAUGACGACCAAACCCCAGAAAACCAAGAUAGGGCCCCUGACUCUGAAGGUAUUGUUGCUAAUUCUGCUUUUAAUUCCAAUUCUUCGAAGAAAUUGCAAAAUCAUGUUGGAUCUGUACCAAAAAGCGAUUCUGUUUCUAUUGAUGAUGUGGGUGAAUCGGAGAAGAUGCCUGAAGUGUUUGAAGAAACGUCAAAAUUGCAAAACCCAGGACAACAAGACUCUAAAACGGCUCGUGAAGGCCUGGGGGGUGUGGAAGCUGAAGUUGAAGUUAUAGAAGAUGGAAAUAUGGAAGAUAAUGUGUCAUUAUCAGGGAGUGAAUGUGCAGAAAGUGUGGAUGUAAGUCGAGAAGAGAGCCAAGUGGAUUCCUCUGGGAACCCGGAAGAUGAUCCCUUGGAAAACCAUGAAGCUGUAGCUGAUCAGAAUGAAGUAAGAUAUGAGAAAGAGCAAUCUUGUGGCGACAAAAAUGAAGCAAGCGGAAAGAGCAGAGAACUUCUGGAGAGGAUGAUGGAAGACAAUGAGAAAAUGAUGGGGAUGAUGACGGAGUUAUUUGAGAGGAAUGAGAUGCAAACAGGGUUACUGAGCUCACUGUCACAGAGGGUUGAGCAGUUGGAGAGGGCUUUAAUGUGUGAAAGAUCAAAGAGGAAGAAGAAGAAGAGAAAUGCUGUUGUAUUAGUGGAUUGUUUAGAAUCAACACAAGAUGCUAAAAAAUGUGGAAAGAGAUAAUGAAUCUUUAGCACAUGUGAUAAGAGUAAAAUUGAUGUAUGGAUUUUGGGUUUGUUUCUGUAAGUUGAUAUGAAUGUAGAUUCUUUCUUUCAGUUUGUUCAAUUCCCUUUUCUUUCAUUUUCACCUUCUAUUUCUCUUGAAUUUGGAAAUGUGCAUAUUUGCUCCUGGAAGCUCUGCCCACAGUAUUAUUGCAUGCGCAUACUGUGAAGUGUAAAAUGGAAUUACCCAACAUCUCCUUUCAUAGCUCAUUUUGACAAAAUUACCAAGAUUUUAGAUGUGCGUCUUCCCUGUUUUGUAUAGGUGUCUGUGUUCUUUUUAUAGGGAUUGAUUCUUUAAAAUUUCACAUUCCUGUUUCGUAUAUUGGGAUUAGUUCUUUAAAAUCUCAAAUAAUGAUAUAAGGCUCAGCACAUUUUAAUUUAAUGUAUAUAU